Molecule: long non-coding RNA, 24877 nt
Filed under: Populus trichocarpa (black cottonwood)
Lineage: Eukaryota; Viridiplantae; Streptophyta; Magnoliopsida; Malpighiales; Salicaceae
Description: long non-coding RNA (PTRI_LNC002329)
Source: RNAcentral
UCUGUAAUAGACUUUUAUGCCUUUGGGCUUCGUUACUACUGAGGUGCUUUCAAAUGUUCACCAUAAUAUGUUUAUACAGAUGUUAUCCCGUUGAUUUUAGAACUUUUACUCCAUCUUCUUCCUUAGUUGAAGGUUCAAUGCAAUGCGCAACCUCUGCCCUGAACAGAAUUUUUGUGAGAGCUAAAAUAGUAAAUAUUAGAUGAAUGCUUAACAUGGAUCACUAUCCAUUUCAUUGUUUUAACAUUGGGUUAAAACAAGUCCCGCAUCAACUUCAUAAUAAGUCGGAUGAUUGCACCAGCUCAAUAACUUUUUCAUUGGAUUUCACUCCAGCAAACCGGAAACAUAACUGGAACUAGUGGACUUGCCAGCGAACUGAAGACUUCUUCGCUUCACUUCACUUCAUCAACAGAAGAUUGUAUGUUACUGUCUGAGGAACCACCCUCAACCACUGCUGUCUCGUCUGCCUUCUUCAACUUCAAUGCAUUCUGCUUCAUCUCCACUGCCUCAGGCCCCACCGUGGCCUCCGAUAAUAUUCUUGCCAGCGAUCUGAAGACUUGCUCGCUUAACUUCAUCAACAAAAGAUUGUAUAUUAUAUGUCGGAGAAACCUCUACAAUUUUGAAUGGUAACGAUGGUAGGUCUCCUAAAACUAAGUAUUUUCUUGUCUUUGAUGACAAUGAUAAUGAUGGGACAAAUAAACAUAUAUUAAACAUAGAGUAAUGAUACAGAGAAUGUAAUUGACGGUUAUAUUUUAUCAUAUGAAAAUAAAAUUAAAUUUUUAAAUGAAAAUAAGGACGAAUGGGUUGAUAGCAUUCAUAAUAAUUAAUGCAGAUAUAAAUAGUGAUGUUGCAAAUUGCAGGAUUAGCAAAGGUGGUAGAGAUGACAGACGACAGAGGUGUUGAGGAUAAUUCUCCUAAUUAUAAUUCAUAUAUUUUUAGAAAAUGAUAUCGAGAUUAGAGUUUAUAUUUUUUUUUAAUGCUCAACCCAAAUAAGUUACAUUGAAUGAGAUAGGACUGAAAAUUAGUAUUGUUUCACAUUAUAAUGUGCAUACUCACAUCGAGAUUUCUGUUUUUAUUUAAGGAUGAUUACUGAUUACAAAUGUUUAUAUUUAGCAAACAUGCUAGUUUGCUAUUUUUUUUCUUUGCUAAUAAUGUUAAUUUAAACACUAGUGAGGAAGAAAAAGAUGCAUAAAUGGUGUAUAUGUUGUAAUAUAGUGUUUGGUAACGUGGUAGAGGUUGUUUUUUAAAGUGUUUUUUAUUUGGAAAUAUAUCAAAAUAAUGUAUAUUUUAUUUUUAACAUCAGCACAUUAAAAUGAUAAAAAAAUAUUAAAAAAUUUAAUUUAAUAAAAAAAAUCAAAUUUAGUGAUAUGCGAUAGUGGUUGCUUUUCAAAAUAUUUUUUUACUCGAAAAUACAUCAAAAUAAUAUAUUUUUUAUUUUUAAAAAUUUAUUUUUAACAUCAUUAUAUCAAAAUAAUUCAAAAACAUAUAAAAAAAACUUUAAAAAAUUUAUUUUUUUAGCACACACCAGACCAGCCGCAUUGUAAACAAUACUUUAAAAACACAAGAAAUCAGGUACAAUUGUUACUUUUGAAAUUACACUACAACAACUAGUUAAUGAUAAACCAAUAGAUUUCAACAUUUAAUUAAGAGCACUUUAGAUAUUAGAAAAUCAUAAUGAAAAACUUGUAAUGUUACCAAUUCAAUGAUGCAACGUGUAAUAUAAAAUCAAAAAUAUAAUUUAUAUAAAUUUGAUAUGCAGAGCUUUCUCACACUCAAAAGACAUGAAGUUUUUAAUAAAUUUCUCUUUUUCUUCUUCUUUUUUUUUUUUUAUCAUAAUAACAUAGAAACUUCUAUCUAGCUAGCAGAUAUAUAUAAUUAAUGUUUCUAGCUUCCUUUUUAUUUAAUUUUGAGGUAUUGUUACUUUUAUUUGGUGGUUUUUUUUUUUAACAGAACAUCAAGUGUGUGUUAGUAACAUGUUUUCAUUGCUCUUGCAAUAUCAUCAUUCCAUUAAAAACUCUAUAAAAAAUAGGGGUGAGUAAAAAAAAUAAAAAAUUAAUUAAAUCGAAAAACUAGAAAAAAAUUGAUUAAAUUGAUUAGAAUUUUUAAGAAAACCAACCGGUUCGGUUCGGUUUUAUAAGCCUGAAACCGAAAAACCGAACCGAGCCGAACCCAAACCGAGCAAAACCGGAAAAAAACCAGUUUUCAUUCUAAAAUAAACGAACCGAACCGAAACCGGUAGGUUUGGACCAGUUUCGGUUCGGACCAAUUUCGGUUUGUUUUCAGUUUUUUUUUUAAAAAAACUGGCUUGGUUACUUUUUUUGAUAAAAACCGAACCGAACUGAAAAUGACCACCCCUAUAAAAAAGCACAUUAAAUACAUUAACUAACACUAAUGAAAUAAAAUUAGAUAACAGGCUUUGCUUUUAAAACACAACUAUUUUUACCUAGAUGUAAGAGUAUUAAUUGAUUAGAAUUUGCUUUUUUCUUAAUAAAAAUACAAAAUAGUUAUUCUCAAUCUUUUUAAAUAAAAAUAGACAUGACAGUUAAUUACUUAUAAAUAUUAUGUUUACUUCAUUUCUGGUUUCUAUUGGUGUGGUUGACUAUGACCGCGCGCAUUAAAGUGCAUAAGAAAUAAAUUAGCUCCCUGUAAUAAUUUGUCUUGAUUAACUUAGGACAGGACUUGACGUCUGACUCCCUAAUUAUCUAAUCAAAUUAUUCUUAAGAAAAAAAAGAUAAUCUAAUUAAAUCCCAAUUAUCAUUCUAUAUCUCAAAAGAAAAGAAAAAUGCAUUGAUUGCGAUUAUUAAUGAUUAGAGACAAGAAUUGUAGCUCGAAAGCCAUUUAAUUGAUUAAAAAAGAAACUUAAGCCAAAUGUGCUCGAUUAUUAAUGAUCGAUUAUUAAUGAUUAGAGUUGUAAUGUUAAAUUCUUAACCAUGCAUAAUCCUUUCUUUCUUGAAAAUUAAAAAAAUCCUUGAGACAAUAUAUUUUCAAAACUAAAAUUUAUUAUCCUCCACUCACUUGAUGAUCUAUCACUUAUUUUUAAAAAAAAUAAAUCCAUAUUUUUAUAUUUCUUUGAAUUUUGAUUACUGCUCGAUAUUAAAAACUUUAAUGAUAUAAUCAUAAGACAAUCAUGAAUAUAAUAAAAACUAAAAAUAUUACAACAAUUUUAAUUUUCAACAUUAAUUUUCAACAACCAUUCCAAGCAAUUCAAACCAAUAAGAUAUUAGCAAAUUAUAAAUUCGAUAACAACCAUACAUAUGGCCUUUAUAUUAUUAAUAGCUAAUUAAAAGAAGUAAAAAGCAGACAACUACAUAACAAGAGUAAUUUCAUCAUACUAACACUGGAUUAAACCCGUUCCAUAUACACUGCAUAUAGAGAAAAUCUCCUCAUGCCGAUGACCCCACCAGUUCAUCGACUUUCUCGUUGGACUUCACCACUACCGACACUGGAAACUCAUUAGAACCAAUACACUUUCUAGCGAUCUCAGACUCAUUCGCUUUUACAAUAUCGUCUGUAAAAUAUCGUAUAUUCCAGUCGGAGGAACCACCCUCAGCCACUGCUGCCGCGGCUGCCUCCUUCCAUUUCAUUGCAUUCUGCUUCAUUUCCACUGCCUUAGGUCCCACUGUGGCCUCCAACAAGCAUUUCUCUAUCUCAUCACGAGUAAUCAGUUUGUUCUCUGCUUCUCCGCGGCACAUUCUCACACCAACCUUAAGGAUGUCGACCAAAUAUUUUGCAUUAGUUACUUGAUCACCCCAUUGAGGGAAAGCCACCACUGGCAUGCCUGAUGUGAGUGCUUCCAUAGUAGAGUUCCACCCACAAUGUGUUACAAAGCACGCAACUGAUGGGUGACCUAAAACCUUCUCUUGAGGACUCCAUUGCACCACUUUGCCCCUGUCUCCUGCUUUCUCCAAGAACCCAUCUGGCAGAACAAGGAGGUCAUGUCCUGCAUCUUUGUGGGCUGGUUUCAUAACUAACAAGAAGGAGACGCCCGAAUUCAAAAACCCAUAAGCGAUCUCGUUCCAUUGGUCUUGCUUCAAUUGUACGACACUACCGAAAGACACGUAAACAACUGAUGAAGGUGGCUUUGUGUCAAGCCAUUCGAUGCAAUCAUCUGCCUUCAGGAAGUCUCCAUGGACCGUUGUCUUUGGUGCCUUAGUAUUUCUGAAUAGCGGCCCAACGGCCCUGAUGGGGAAGAUUUCGGACAUGUGCUUGAUAAGCUCUGGUUCAAGCUCUUCGAAUGUUUCCAUCAGGAUGCAAAAUGGCUUGUCAAGAUUUUUGUACUGACCUAAAAUAGCCCUCCUCAAGAAAGGAUAAGGAGUUGUAGGAUACAAGUAACUAGGCACUUCAUCAUAUUUUAGGAGAGGCAUCCAUGGUAGUUGGACAUCUAUCUCGGGGUGCUCCUCAUCAGGGAAAGGUACAGUACCGUGAUAGUAAUGGUAAUAUGAGGCAAAACAAGCGCAGGAUUGAACCCAAAGCAUUGCAGAAGGGAGACCUAGACUUGUGGCCACAUCUGUAACCCAAGGAAUGAAAGGGUUGUUUAUGAGGCAAGAAACAGGCCGCCCUUGCUCUGCAUUUUUCUUGAUCAUUUGAGGAAUUACUUGUUUACCAACAAGCUCAAGUUGAAGUAAGUAUUGAUCAAGGUCUUGGUGCCUAUCCUCGUCCUCUUCCCAUCCAUCUGCAAAGAAUUCAAACCGGAUAAAGCCAUCACCAAACGGGGUCAGCUUAUCUAUGAUGUCACUGGCUUGUCUCAUCUGUUCGCCAGUGGUUUCUGUAGUGGAGAAGGUGACAAGGAAGCCUUUGGAGGCAAGAAUUUUUCCAAGUCUAAGUAAAGGAUUUACAUGGCCUUGGCCUGGGAAAGAAACAAGGAAGAGAUGGCCAAGAGACUCGGAAACCAUUUUUCUCUUCCGGGUUUUUGGACAGGCAGAGAGACGGAAGAGAUUGAUGAACAGGAGAGGACUUGAUGAGUUUGGGAAUGAGUGGUGAGCAUGGAAUGAAAGGAUGCUGAUAUAUAUACCAUUUAUAAGGAGUUACAUUCAAAGUUUUUAGUGAUAGAUAGAUCUACAGAGACUGUUAGUUGGCUGACGGUCAAAUGCAUACAAUGUUUCAAUUAUAACUCUUUCCUUGGCUUCUUCCAACAGAAGAUGAAAUAAAAUUUGAUUACGCUAGUUAAUUAACUGUAGCUUUCAAUGAUUUUGCAGUCAUAUUAGAGCAAAAUGUAUAUUGUGAUUAUAGAAGCGAGAAACACAUCUAUUUGCAAUUUUGCAUGUCGAUUAUUAUUCUCUUUUUCCGAUCAUGGAAAUCAGUAGUCAAGACAUGUUUGAAAAUCUUUGGAAAACACUCAGAAACCCAAUACAUCGGGUAAACCAACAACUUAUACCGACUGAAUGAUGAACAUUAUGGCCAAGGUUAGCUAGUCAUUCCGCCCAACAAUUGGCUUCGCAGAAGGUUUGUCGGAUCGGCACCUCCCAUUGCCUGGAAAACAACUGUUGAGUUUCUGUCAGGAUGGGAUCCUGGAUGAGUCUCCUCUAAAAACUGUCGCAAGAACUGCAGAAUCAACCUCUAGUUCAGUCCUGGUACAUCCUAAAUUCCAAGCUAAAUCUGGUCCGUAGAAAGCAGCCCACGAUUCAGCUUUCGUAGAGAACAAAUACCCAAUUUAGCUGCGAAGCCAUGAAUUUAAUUUAAGGAUUUAUGGCAGUAAUUUUGCAAUUUUAUUUUAUUUUAUUUUCUUUUUUAUAAUAUUAUGGCUUUGAGACUUUAAUUAGUAAAGCUUUAUUUUUUUACAUGUGAUACACUGCUGGUUGGAUAAUUUUUUUAGCCUUUAAAAAAAUAUAAAAAUAUUAAAAAGUUAAAAAUUUAAUGUGUCAAAUAAAAAAAAACUUUUAAAAUAUUAAAAUAUUGAUAUAUUAGAUGAUAUAUUAUUUUUUUUAAAAAAUAUUAAUAUAAUGAUAUAUUAAAUUGACCUCGAUCAACUAUAAUGAAACUCAUUAUCCAAGAUAGGAAAAUGUAAUAAUCUCAUGAAAGCUAUACAAAAACAAAUUGAAAAGGAAAUCGUGACAAAAAAAAAACCAAAUUUAAAAAAGAAAGCACUCAAAAAAAUAAACCAGUGCAUACAAGCCAUCUAAAACGAUGUUUGGGUCCAAUAGAUAAAAUUGAUCAGACACCCAAGACAGAAAUAUGAUCGUCAUUUUAAACGCCCCCAUAAAAGUUUCACCAUGUGAUAAAGGUCUUGAAGAAAUUCGAGUUAAAUUCCUUCCUUCUCGACCAAUUCAAAAAGAAAUCUCCAUUGCCAUUAAUCAUAAAUAAAGAUUGUUAUUGAGAUGGCCUGCGCUAGCUGAAUAGCUAGCCUCCCUUUCUUUUGGGGGCAAACCAAAUGAAUUCAUUGAAACAAGGAGCGAAAAGGCACUCAAGCGGAAAGAAAAGCAUCCUGAUGAGAGAAGCCGAAGCUCCCACAAAAUUACAGACCUACAAAAGCAGACAAAAGAAUCCAUUUCAGAGCCAAAAAAUAUGUGCUUCCAGUUUCAAAUCCUUUGAAGCAGAGCUCGAGACCAGUUAAAUGGUGUUACUUCAACAGCAACCAGUUAUGCCAGCUGUUUUGACCAUUAGUUCUAGGACCUCCACGAAAUUUUUUUGGGUUUGAUGGGUGGUUAAGAUAACAUACCCAUCAACACUCUUUCUUUCUUUCUUUCUUUCUUUUUAUCAAGAACGACGGGGAUAAAGCCUAAAACAUAAAAUUACAAUUUACAAGCAAGGUAACAUAUAUCCCAUGAUUAUCUUCAACGAUUGAAUUUGAAAACAUCCCAUGAUAGUCUUGUAAUUAUGGUAAUGAAUCUGUGGGCAUGCAAAUGAACAGAUAGAAUAAUGGUAGAGCAAUUCAAUUUAAUUGGUGAACAUUGUAUAAAGUCCCGAAUUUGAAGGACUGGGAGUACGAAGAAAAACACUAGUAUCUCUUUACAAUCAACGUAUUUUGUUGAAGAUGAUAUAUUUGCUAGUAUUGAGUUUGUGAUUGUAGGAGAGUGCCAAUCAAAUCAAUGGAGGGUGAUGGAGGAUGAAUAUCAACAAUGGUUGAUCACUUAAAAAAAAUUAAAAUAGUGUUUUUUUGAUAAAAAAAAAUUAUCAAGAGGUUAAAAGUUGAGUUUUUAUUUGAUUUACUCAAAAUCAAUCCAGAUUUUUUAUCAGUUUGAAUCAAGUUAUUUAUGAAAAUUUUGUGGUAUUCAAUAAGUAACUGAUGAUAUCCUAUUAAUUAUUUUUCAGAUCUAUAUUGAAAAAAAAUACAAAUAAAAAAAGAAAGACAAAAUGAAACUCAUAACUUGCUAAAAAUAAUAAAAAUAUAUCUAUCUAAAAUUUCUCUCUCGUAAUUGUAUUUAUUUAAAAAAAAACUCAAGGAAUGAGUUUGGGAAUGAGUGGUAAGCAUGGAAUGAAAGGAUGCAGAUAAAUAUAGCAUUUAAAGUUUUUAGUGAUAGAUAGAUCAACAGAGACUGUUAGUUGGCUGACGGUCAAAUGCAUACAAUGUUUCAAUUAUAACUCUUUCCCUGGCUUCUUCGAACAGAAGAUGAAAUCAAAUUUGAUUACGCUAAUUAAUUAACUGUAGCUUUCAAUGAUUUUGCAGUCAUAUUAGAGCAAAAUGUAUAUUGUGAUUAUAGAAGCGAGAAACGCAUCUAUUUGCAAUUUUGCAUGUCGAUUAUUAUUCUCUGUUUCCGAUCAUGGAAAUCAGUAGUCAAGAAAAACACUCAGAAACCCAGUACAUCGGGUAACCAACAACUUAUACCGAUUGAAUGUUGAAGAUUAGUUACAAGUGCAAGUGCACUUCAUUCCUUGACUUCUGGUUGUCUAUGAAAGAUUCUGCACUAGUAUAUGCUUUCCAGCACGUCAUGCUAAGAAGGGAUAUUCAGUUCCUGCUGACGUUCAAAUUUGUUUUUUGAUCAAUGCUAUCGUACAUAGUGUCGAAUUUCUUUACGGAAACCAACGUAUCUUAUCCUCACAAUUUGUGAUGCUGUUGAAAGUUUCUCUCAGUCACCACUCAGCAAUACGAUAUUUGUAUUGUUCGGAGUUCUUGGCCCAGCAACUUCCAAUUGAAUCCUGAUGAGAGAAGCCGAAGCUCCUACAAAAUUACAGACCUAUAAAAGCAGACAAAAGAAUCCAUUUUGGAGCCAAAAAAAUAUAUGCUUCCAGUUUCAAAUCUAUAAGUUAGCCAAUCCUUUGAAGCAGAACUAGAGACCAGUUAAAAAUUCAACUGUUUUGACCAUUAGUUCUAGAAGAUGUGAACAGUUUACAUCUAAAAGUGUUUUGUGCUGGUGGGGUCGGGAGAAUGGUUCUGAUCAACUUGUGUGUGUGAUUUAUGCUUUGCGCUUUGCAGGGCAAUGCAGAGUACUUUUUUUUAAUAGAAAAAAAAUAAUACUUUUUAUAUAUAAAUAAAUUAUAUUAAAGUUAAUAAAUGAUAGCUGUGAAUUAUGUAUUCCAAAAACAUUAAGGAUUGGUUGAGAUUGGAAUUUUUUUUUCAUGCUACUCAAUAUGAAAACUUUGUAUCAUAUAUUUGUGUUUAGAUUAAUAUUGUUUUGUUUUUCUAUUGAAAGAUAGUUUUAUAAUUUUGAAAAUACCUAAAAUAAUUUCUUGGAGACUCACAUUGAUAUAGAAAUUCUUGCCAUUGGCCUAGAUUAGAGGGAGAAUCAAUAUAUUUCCUUAAGAAAAAACAGAGAGAGAUGAUGAUCAAAAUCUCUUUCUAUUUUGGAGUUGAUUAAUUUGGUUGCACGAUGAGUCUACCUAGCAAGCCACAACAUAAUAAUUCUUAAAUACCAAAAAAUAAAAUUUAAAAUAUUUAUGAACUAAAUUAUUUUUUUAUUGUUUCAUGCUUCAAGAAAAAAAAAAGAAAAAAAAAGCAAGAGAAUCUAGCCCUUACCAAAACCCAGACCAGCAAGCUCAGAGGUGUCGUUUAGCCGGGUUAUUACCCAUCAAAUAUAAAAUGACAACAACCCAAGAGGUGUCGUUUAGCUCUUAGGCUGCGUUUGUUUCCCGAAAAGUGGUUUUCAGAAAACUACUUUUCAAAUUUUUCUGUAUUUAUUUGCCAUUAGGAAAGUUGAUUAACGAAUAACACUUUGCGGUCAACGGAAAACACUUUUCAAUCAAAUAAAAAUUUGGCUUGGUUUCCAGGAAAGUGUUUUCCUUUUAUUUUGGGUGGAAAACACUUUCCGGAAUUUGUGAAAAAUUUAGAAAUGUCAUAUUAUUUGUUGAUUAUAUCAAAUUUGGUCCUCAAAUUUUUGAUUUCUAUAUAUAUUUUGUUUUGAAUAUUUGUUUUUCAAUUUCAUCCUUUAGAAUUUAAUUUUUAUAUUAACUUUGAUCCUCAUUUUUAUAAUUGUUAUUUGAUUUUCCCUUAACAUUUUUUAAUUGAAAAUUUUUAUCUAUCAAAUUUGAUCCUCAUUAUUUUGAUUGUUACUUAUUUUAUUUGAAAUAAUUUAUGAAAUUUUAAUUAUUAUUAUUUUAAUUUCUUCAUCUUUCAUUUUUUUUUUUUUAGAUUUGAUUUCUAUUAUUUUGAUUAUUAUUUAUUUUAUUUGAGAUAAUUUGAAAUCAUUUUUUUUCAAUUACAUUCUCAUUCAACUUUUUAAUUUGUAAGAUUUGUUCCUCAUUAUUUUAAUAAACUUGAGAAAAAUAAAACAUUAAUAAGUUAUUUUCCAGCUCAUUUUCCAUGACAUAACCAAACACUAGAAAGUAUUUUUCAAUUUAUUUUUCAUUACACUACCAAACAUCGGAAAAUAAUUUAUUUUUCCGGAAUUCAUUUUCCAAAAAAAACUACUUUCCAGCAAACAAACGGGGCCUUAAAUACACAUUUUUUUACCGCAUUUGUUACCACAAACGGGGCCUUAAAUACACAUUUUUUUACCGCAUUUGUUACCAUGCAUGUGAUUGGUUAUCUACUUUAGCUGCAUGCCUUAUAUGGUUUUUUAAUAAUGUGAGUAUAAUUUUAUUUAUACAUAUUUACUUAUAUAUUCUAUGUGAGUAUAAUUUUAUUUAUACAUAUUUACUUAUAUAUUCUAAUAAAAAAAUUAUCUUAACAAUUCGUUUAUAUUGAUACUUUUAGUCAGAAAACCUAUUGAAGAAUAAAUCUUUGAAUAAUAUUUUUUAAUGUUUUUCAUAGAUAUGUGAGGCUUACCUUUCUUUAACAUAAAAGUAACUUUUUAUUUAGCUCUUUCAAGCUAUAAAAUUACUUUUGACUCUCUCGUUGAAAACACCACCUUCCUUUUCUCCGCUUAUUUCACCUACCAUAGUUAUUCACGGUGGUGAAAGUUAAAUAUGAGUUAUUGAGUUUUAAAUAAUAAUAUGUAUGUUUCACACACAUUAAAUUUUUUUUAUGUAUAUUUUUGUGUUGAUAUUAAAAAUAAUUUUUUUAAAAAAAAAUAUUAUUUUAAUAUAUUUUCAAACAAAAAACAUUUUAAAAAGCAACUAUUAUCACAAUAACAAAUAUGUUCGACAUCUUUGAAAAUUUGUAAAACAAAUAUGUAUUUAAUUCUCAAAAAAAAUAAUCUCAUUGCUAUCUCAGCUAGAACACAAGAUAAGACAUUUUAUUUUCAAUCAAUAUUAAUAACUUGCAUAUUAUUUUAAAAAAAUCCACCUUUUAAACUAACAUAUAAUUAUUCAUAAAAAAAUUAAAAAUAUUUAUAAAAAACUUCAAUUGUUUUUUAAAAACAAAGAUAUAAUUGAACAACCAUUUAAAUAUAAUUGAACAACCAUUUAAAUAUUAUUUUAAUAAAUUGAUUCCAAUAUAUAUUUUUUUAUAAAAAAGGAAACAUCCAAAAACCUGGUACCAAGGUCUUUAGUGGCAGAAAGCGGGCUUGGAUAUGCAGGACUCCUAACUAUCCUUGUACACUAUUGAGCACAUAAACAAUGGAAACCUGGUCCGAAACCAUUAACGCUGGUGCUGAAAAGUGAAAUACAUAUAAAAGAUCGAGGUUACAUUUCUGCUGGUAGUGAAAAGUGAAAACUUCUUCAAUUUAUUUUCAGUGAAAAGCUUUUGAUUUUUUGAAUGUUUAAAAAAUAUAUUUAUUUGAAAAAAAUAUUAAAUUAAAAUUCUUUAUAUGUUUUUCAAUAAUUUUGAUAAUAUAAUGAUAAAAAUUAAAAAAUAUAUUUUCAAAAAGCAUAUUAAUGCAAUGAACUACUGUUGCAGGCAUGAAUAUUCCAUCAAUAUCAAUAUAUCGAGCAUUAUUUUAUUUUAUUUUAAUAUCAUCUCUGCUUUCUCACAUCCAGACCACGUAUAUUUCUUCAGUCCGGUUAAAAAAAGGACCAUUAUUAGUGCUAAAAGUAGAGUAACAUAGUCUUAAAUAUGAUAUGAUCUACAUUUCAGGAUUUGGAAUUCUUUCCUUGGAAUAAAUAAAAGGUAAACAAAACUUAAUAAAAAAACGCAGUAAUCCUAGCAUUAUCCAAUCACAAUUAUUGGCCUUCGUUGCCUUAUGUAUAUUGAUGAGGAAACAACGAGCGUACAACCAUCGCUUGGCAGGAUUAUCACUAACGUCCUUGCCUUAAUUAAUCUUCAUGUCACGAUUUAUCAUUGCACAAUCCCUUCACGGAACCGUGCAUACUUCAAUUGAACCACAACUCUCAAUAAUUUCAUCUACAAACAACUGAAUAUUCUUGUCCGAUGAACCACCACCGGCAACUGCCUCUCUUGCCGCGAUCCUCAAUUCCCUUGCAUUGGAUUUAAGCUCCACAGACUUUGGUCCGUCCAUGAUCUCUCUAAUACAUCUUUCAACUUCCUCAUUGCUAACAAUCCCAUCUUGAUUUGCUCUAAGCCUUAGACCAAUGCGAAAAACAUCAACAAUAAGUUUUGCAUUUGUUGGCUGGUCGCUCCACUUGGGGUAUGCAAUCACCGGCACGCCCGCAGCAAUUGUUUCUAACAUAGAAUUCCAUCCACAAUGAGUUAUAAAACACGCAAUAUAUAGCUGGGUGGGCUAAAACUUUGGUUUGUGGAGACCAUGAUACAACCACCCCUUGGUCUUUGGUCUCCUCCAAGAAUCCUAAUUAACGGCAAUUGUCCUGCACCAUCAGGUUCUUGUAAGUCUGGUUUCUUAACCGCCCAAAUAAAUGGAGUGUUACUGUUCUUCAGGGCUUUCGCCAUGCACUCCAUUUGUUUGGCUGAUAAGACAACAAGGCUUCCAAAAGAUAUAUACGUAUAUAACUGAAGAAGGGGCUCCCUUGUUUAACCAUUCAAUGCAAGUAUCUUCUGCUUUCCACAUCUCGACACCCGUAUCGUGAUCUUUAUCUUCACCAAGAAGUGAUGGAAGAACUAGAGGGCCAAUGGGACUAAUAGGGCAGAGAUCAGCCAUGGACUCAAUAGCAUCUUUCUCAAGCCCAAAGCAUGAGUUCCCAAGAACCCAUUUAUACAUCUUCAUGUUCUGGAACAUCUCUGAGAACAAUUUAGGAAAGAUACCAUAUGGAUUUGAAGGAAGAACAAAAGAAGGUAAAUCUUCCGUAUUCAACAGUGGCAAGCCUGGCAACUCAACACUCAUUUCAGGAUCUGUUAAAGUAGGAAAUGAGUUUAGCUUAUUGUAAAAGCGAUAAUAAAUGGCAUAAAGUGAACAUGGCUGUAUCCAAAACAUGGCACAGGGAAUUCCAUGAUUGAUGGCAACAUCAGCUACCCAGGUAACAAAUGGGUUGGUGAUGAUGCAAGAGAGCUUUUUGUGACCAUUACUGGGGAAAUGCUCCUUUAUAAGGUUUGAGAGAUUGAUGGUUCCAAAUUUGGCUAAACUCUUCUUGUACGAUUCGUAAUUAACCAUGCGGUCGUAGUUUAGGCUUUGACCAUCAGAGAAGAAGCGAACCUGGACUCCAGAGAUUGAGAUGGUGGAGGAGGUGGGGUUGAUGGUGGAAGAUUUGAGCAUGCGGUGACGGGUGAAUUCAGUGGUGGCCAGUGUGACAUGGAGACCUUUAUUGACCAAGCAUUUACCUAGUCUAACCAUGGGGUUUAAGUAACCCUGAGAUGAGAGUGCCACCAUUAGCACAUGAAUUUCUUCUUCUUUGUUUUCCUUCAAGAUUUCCAUGACUUCACAGCUCACACAACGAGCGAGAGAAAGAGAGAUUAGGUUAAGGAGGGCAGGCGAUUGACAAAUCACUGUAUAUGGAAAAAUCACGAAGGACAACUCAGCAAAGUAUAGACGCAGGCAAUGACGCAUGGCAUUAUAGGGAUCCAGAUUAAUAGUGUGUUUGAUAUUAUGAUAGCUGUUGUGGUUGUGAUUUAAAAAAAAUUAUUUUAUAAAAAGUAUUUUUAGUUGAGGUUGGUUUGAAAAAAUAGGUGUUUGGUUAAAACUGUAGUUAAAAUUGAGGUUGAAGAAAAAGUAGUUUUAACGUGUUUGGUUAAAAAAAUGUUUUUCAAAUUGAGGUUAUAAAAUAAUUAUAUAUAUAUUAAUGAUUUUUAACUUAAAUAUUGUAGAUUUAACUACUGUUAUUACAUCAUGAAAUAAAUAAUAUUGAUAUCAAAUAUUUUUUAUUAUUCCAUUAAACUAUAUACAAUGUCAUUACAUACGAAAUCUAUCCAACAAGGACUAUAUUUUUUAUAGUUUCUUAAGCGCGCAACAACAAAAACUGAUUUUUUAAAUUUAUGUAGUGUUAUUAAAUAAUAAAGAUUGUGAUAUCUUUAUUAUUGGAAUUGCGAUCAAAUUCCACAAAUGUUACGUCAUCAUGCGAUAUCUUUCUAAUUUAUGUAGUGUUAUUAAAUAAUAUUAAAUACUAGUUUUUUAAGUACAACACAAUUUUUUUUAAAAAAAAUUACAAUUUCAUUAUAGUAUAAUUAAAUUUAAUUCACCUUAAACUAAUUUUAAAAAAAAAACAAAAAAAAAUAUUGUUCACGAUUAACUGCACUGGUGUUGUUCGGGAAAAAAAAACUAAACUUUUCUUAUUGGUUUUUUUUUUAAAAAAAAAGAACAUCUUCACUGAACAGUGGAGCCAUGAGAAGCAGCAUUUUGCUGCUUCUCCAAUCCAGCGGCUGGGCAGCAAAAAUCAGUAGUCCCUACCAAGCAAAAUCAGGUUUGUUUACUUUACUAAAUAUAAAAAUAUAUGGUUGCGAGUGAACCUUACCCGCAACCACAAUACCAAACACCUAAGAAGGUGAGAAUGACAAAACUCAAAUCAAAGUGUUAAUCGUGUAUCCAAUCUCGAAAAGAAAUUAGAAAUAAAUAAAUAAAAGUGUUAAAUCAUCAUCAUGAAGAAAGAGAAUAAGAAAAAAUUAAAAGUAGUAAUCCAUUAUCGUUGAUAAGUGAUUUUGAUUGUUCUAUCUUAUUUUAAAAAUCUUCGUCCACUUUAAGAUUCUCGGUGCACUUUAUUAGUGUUAAACGUUGUAAUAAAAAUUAUUUUUUAAAAAAAAUAAAUUAAAAUAAUAUAUAUAUUAUUUUUUAAAUUUUAUUUUUAAUAUUAACACAUUAAAAUAAUUCAUAAAAUAAUAUACAUGGUCGGAUAAACAAAUAACCUUUUUAAAUUAAAAAGCGAUGAGUUCAUGAUACAUAAUUUUAUUAAAAAAAAUUAUAAAACUUAAUUUUUAAUAAAAAUAAUAUUAAAUAAUAAAAUUUAAAUUUAAAAAAAAUAAAGAAAAUGAAAAAAAUACUCUAGUAAAUAAUAAUCAAGUAGGAGGGGUACAGUUUAUUUGCUAAAAUGACAGGCACGUCCCUCCCUGGAUGGGCUCAAGUAUUGCCCCUUUUAUUCCACACCAAAAAAAAAAAAAAAAAGCAGCCCAUCAAGGGAAAACCACCCAGAAAGCUGGUCCCAAACUCUCGGCGGACAGAAAGCGAUCUCAGCAGUCUGAUAUCAACAUUAUAAAAAUGGAGUUAACUAACCGCUUGUCAAAGUGAUUUCAACAUUCAACCCAAGUAAACAGAGCAAAGCCAACUUUCUUUGAUGAAUGUUAGUUCUAACCGCUCUAAUUUCUUAUAAUUAUAUAGUGAAAAAAGACUUGCUGGACGUUUUCCUAUUAAAAAAAAACUCAAAGUUUGAGCAUUCUGUUGCUAAACCUUGCUAUUAAUUAUUAUAUAUUUAUUAUAGUUAUUUAAUUUAGGCUUCCACGCCACUAGAAUGACCACAACUCGCACAGUAAUAGUCGUGCUUGUAGAAUUAAAAAAUUUCCAAUUGAUUUGACAAAUAUUUUGGUGGUCUUAUUUGUUAAAUGUCAUCUUAUUUUUUGUUAUGGUAAUUAAAUUAAAUUAAAUAUUUGAAAAAUCAAGGUUUUAUUUCCAAAUAUCAUUUUUGGAUCACUUAAGCCUUUUUUUUUAAUGAUUACCAAGUUUGUGAGGUGUUAUUUAAAAAAAUAUUUUACAAGUAAUUUUAUCAGUUGUCAUUUAUUUUUACAUAUCUUUCACUCAAAAUCUUCAAAUUUAACUCUUUAAACCUCUAUAAAUAAAUAAAGGGAUUCACUAUCACAAGAAAGGAAAGGGAAAAAAAAAAGUUAUACUCAAGUAUUGAAACUCUGCAAAAAAAAAAAGCUGCCAAGCCUUGCACCUCAGUAGAGUUCACCUUCAAUACUUUGAGGAUAAAUCAAAGAAGUUAUCAAAUUUUGCUCAAAACUUCAUAUCACACUUUGCAAAAAGCAUGCCAAGUCUUCACAUUUUUCAGGAUAAAUUUGUAGGUGCAAUGCCAUAUAUAACGACCACGACUUGCAUAGUAGUGGUGGUGCUACAAUAUCAUAGUUUUUUAGGGUGGGCUACUGGGCUUGAAAUGUUUUCACAGGCACCUAAUACUCUUUUAUGUCAGAGUGAUGUUGUGUUUUCUUUUCAUGAAUCAAACACAAAUUACACACAUAAAAUAAAUUUAAUAAAAUUUUAUAUAAUUACCGUAUUUUAUUCGUAGAACAUGAAUCGUGAUACUUGUACAAAAAUCUUAUAAUAUUUAAUUUAAUUUUCUUUAUAAAAGUUUGUCGUUAUAGUCCCCACACAAAAAAGAAAAAAGUGCAAAAAAACACAUUCCCAACCAAACCAAAAACAAAUAAUAGUAGUGAGAAGAGGAAGUCAGAGUUCCUAGAAAAUAAUAAAAAAUUAGUUGAGGAUGUUAAAAAAAAAUUAAAAUUUGACAGUAUAUUUUUUACUAAUGAGAGCCAUGUUGACAAGAAAAAUUGAAUUUAAGAAAGAAAAGUUCAAAAUCAGAUAUUUAUAGACUCAAUUGAAGGUUUAAUUGAAUUUGUAGAGGGUUUGAUUGAAAGAAAAAUUGAUUUUAAGUCAAUUUAAGCUUUAAUUGAAAGAAAUUAAAGUACAGGGCUCAAAUUAUAAUUUUUAAGAGUUGAUUUGGUCAAAUCAGGAGCUUCAUUGCAUAAAUAUCAAAGUUUGAUGCCCAAUUAGGGACUUGAUUGAAGAAAUCCAAAACCAAUAACCAAACUAGAAAAUACAAAUAAAUAAAGGAACUGAAAUUAUCCGAAUCAAGAGCCAAAUUAAAAGUUUAUUGAUCAAUUGAGAUUCAAAUUGGAUAAAUUCGAGACCAAGUAUCAAAAUGAAAAGGACGACCAACUUUAGAGUUGACAUUUAAUUUUGACAAAGACACAAUUAAAUCGAUUCUUAAAAUUAAAAUCGCAACUGAAAACUUGAUUGAACAAAUAAAAAAUUUAAAACUUAUUUGGAAAUUAAUACAUUUUAACGUCAUUUUCUUUCAAAUGAAACAACAUCGUUUUGUUAAAACGGCAUUGUCUCAUGCAUUGUUCAUAAAAAAAGCCCAAAAUAGUGCCGUCUUGAACUGCAUUGUGUGUCUUCUUCUUCCCUGACUCACAUAGGCAGGGGAAGAAGGUUUUCGUCCCCUCUUUUGCAGCGUCCGUUUGGCUCUCUCCUAAGAACUCAAAACCCCGACACAAUCCACACCCUCUCAUGACAUACUACCAUGAUGAAAAAGCUAGGAGAACCAUGCCUAAUUGCGACUUUGGGGCGGCUGCAUAGAGGUCGCCUCAGCCACCCUACCUUUACACCAUGACUGGACAAAAAUAGUAGCUCUUUCUUCCCCUUUCCGCCCUUAUAAAUACUAGGGGACAGAGAGGAGCAGGGGACGAAAAAACGAGUGAAAUUAUAGAGAGAAAGAAAGAAAAAGAAGAACAAAAGAGAAAAAGAAACAAGGAACUUGAGAACUAAACAAGAAGAGACAGAGAGGAAAGAACUUAUAAAAAAGGGACAGAAACAAGAGAAGAGGAUGAAAACAAAAAUAGAGAGGAGUUACAUAAGAAGUGAAACAAAGGAAAAACACACUGGAAAAAAAAAAACUGUCGACCGGCACAACAGCUCCCUAUUGCACAGCCACCUUGUUAGGAAGAAGAACAGUUCCUCGCCGCGAACCAUCGCCAGCCGCCACCAGUAGCACUGCCACCGCUAGAGAACAAAAGGAGAAGAACAGAUAAAUAUAGGGAAGGAAAAGAGAUAACAGAAGACAAGCAGAAGGAAAAUACAGAGAAAGAGGAAGAACAACCAGCAGCGUCCUCCGCAAACCACCGCCAGUCCUCUUCGCCCAACGUCAACAACAGCACCGCCACUGCAGGUCAGCUUCCACCUCCUUUAUUUUCCUCUUCUCCUUCUCUGCGUGCAACCUCUACUGUUCACGUUUCUGAGCAGAAACUGCCCUUACCUUGCAUUAUUUGUUGUAUAACGAACCAAAUAUCGACCUCAUUCACUUCACUUGCCUCCUACAAUUACUGUCGUUUGCUCAAAGCUAUAUGUUCUACUUUCUAGCUGCUGGCUGAUCAUUAUACUGGGAGCAAGUAUCGAGGAGCCUGACACCCUCGAUUCCCCAUGCACCUUCUUUCAUUUCUCGUUUAUUUGUAGACGUGCUAGUAUAUGUUUUGGAAUGAUGAGUCUCUCUCUUAUGUUAUUUAUUAUUAAAAUGAAAAUAAAGUGUGCGUAGGGACAUCAUGUUAAACUAAAAAAACUAAAAAAAAGAAAAUGAAAGCAAGGAAAACAAAAUGUCAUAUUUUGGCAAUAGAAUACUCAAGCCAAAAAUAUGCUUAAAUGACUUAUAUUGAAACCUUUGAGAUUGUGCUCCAUCUGCAUGACUAGGAUUUACAUAUGGGUCAAGAUUAAUGUAUACUUUUUGAAUAUUAUCGGCAUUAUUAACUAAAAAUUCAACUAUUUGCCAAUAUAAUUCUAGAUUACGUUUAAGAGUUGUAAUGUUAAAUUUUAAACCAUGCAUAAUUCUUUUUUAAAGACUGAAAAAAUUCUUAAGACCCUAUAUUUUCAAAACUAAAAGGUUUAGAAUUUGUUGUCCUCCACCCACUUGAUGAUCUAUCACUUACUUUCUUAAAACUUAAAUCUAUAUCUUUGUAUUUCUUUGGAUUUUUGUUACUCCUCGACAUUAUAAAGAUACUAUAUAUAAUAAAAUUUAUACCCAAAUCAUAAGACAAUCAUGAAUACAAUAAAAACUAAAAAUAUUACAACAACUUUAAUUUUCAACAACCAUUACAAGCAAUUCAAACCAAUAAGAUUUUAGCAAAUUAUAAAUAGGAGAGUACAAAAAAUCGACAACAACCAUACAUAUGGCACUUGGCCUUUACUGUAUGUUAUUAAUACCUAAUUAAAAGAAGUAAAGAGUAGACAACUACAUAACAAGAGUAAUUUCAUCAUACUAACACAGGAUCAAACCCGUUCCAUGUUCACUGCAUAUAUAGCAAAUCUCCUCAUGCCGAUCACCCCACCAGUUCAACCACUUUCUCGUUGGACUUCACCACUACCGACACUGGAAACUCAUUAGAACCAAUGCACUUCCCAGCAAUCUCAGACUCAUUCGCUUUUACAAUAUCGUCAGUAAAAUAUCGUAUAUUCCAGUCGGAGGAACCACCCUCAGCCACUGCUGCCUCGGCUGCCUCCUUCCAUUUCAUUGCAUUCUGCUUCAUUUCCACUGCCUUAGGUCCCACUGUGGCCUCCAACAAGCAUUUCUCUAUCUCAUCACGAGUAAUCAGUUUGUUCUCUGCUUCUCCGCGGCACAAUCUCACACCAACCUUAAGGAUGUCGACCAAAUAUUUUGCAUUAGUUACUUGAUCACCCCAUUGAGGGAAAGCCACCACUGGCAUGCCUGAUGUGAGUGCUUCCAUAGUAGAGUUCCACCCACAAUGUGUUACAAAGCACGCAACUGAUGGGUGACCUAAAACCUUCUCUUGAGGACUCCAUUGCACCACAUUGCCCCUGUCUCCUGCUUUCUCCAAGAACCCAUCUGGCAGAACAAGGAGGUCAUUUCCUGAAUCUUUGUGGGGUGGUUUCAUAACUAACAAGAAGGAGACGCCCGAAUUCAGUAACCCACAAGCCAUCUCGUUCCAUUGGUCUUGCUUCAAUUGUACGACACUACCGAAAGACACAUAAAUAACUGAUGAAGGUGGCUUUGUGUCAAGCCAUUCGAUGCAAUCAUCUGCCUUCAGCAAGUCUCCAUGGACCGUUGUCUUUAGUACCUUAGGAUUUCUGAAUAGCGGCCCAACGGUCUUGAUGGGGAAGAUUUCGGACAUGUGCUUGAUAAGCUCUGGUUCAAGCUCUUCGAAUGUUUCCAUCAGGAUGCAAAAUGGCUUGUCAAGAUUUUUGUACUGACAUAAAAUAGCCCUCCUCAAGAAAGGAUAAGGAGUUGUAGGAUAUAAGAAACUAGGCACUUCAUCAUGUUUUAGGAGAGGCAUCCAUGGUAGUUGGACAUCUAUCUCGGGGUGCUCCUCAUCAGGGAAAGGUACAGCACCGUGAUAGUAAUGGUAAUAUGAGGCAAAACAAGCGCAGGAUUGAACCCAAAGCAUUGCAGAAGGGAGACCUAGACCUGUGGCCACAUCUGUAACCCAAGGAAUGAAAGGGUUGUUUAUGAGGCAAGAAACAGGCCGCCCUUGCUCUGCAUUUUUCUUGAUCAUUUGAGGAAUUACUUGUUUACCAACAAGCUCAAGUUGAAGUAAGUACUGGUCAAGGUCUUGGUGCCUAGGCUCGUCCUCUUUCCAUCCAUCUUCAAAGAAUUCAAACCGGAUAAAGCCAUCACCAAACGGGGUUAGCUUAUCAAUGAUGUCACUGGCUUCUCUCAUCUCUUUGCCAGUGGUUUCAGUGGUGGAGAAGGUGACAAGGAAGCCUUUGGAGGCAAGAAUUUUUCCAAGUCUAAGUAAAGGAUUUACAUGGCCUUGGCCUGGGAAAGAAACAAGGAAGAGAUGGCCAAGAGACUUUGAAACCAUUUUUCUCUUCAGGGUUUUUUUGACAGGCAAGAGACAGAAGAGAUUGAUGUACAGGAGAGGACUUGAUGAGUUUGGGAGUGAGUGAUGAGCAUGGAAUGAAAGGAUGCAGAUAUAUAUAGCAUUUAUAAGGAGCUACAUUCAAAGUUUUUAGUAGUAGAUAGAUUUAUAGAGACUGUUAGUUGGCUGGCGGCCAUUUGUAUACAAUUUUUCAAUUAUAACUCUUUCCUUGGCUUCUUUGAACAGAAGAUGAAAUCAAAUUUGAUUCCGCUACUUAAUUGACUGUAGCUUUCAAUGAUUUUACAUUCAUAUUACAGCAAAAUAUAUAUUGUGAUUAUAGAAUCGAGAAACACGUCUAUUUGCAAUUUUGUAUGUCGAUUAUUAUUCUCUUUUUCCGACCAUGGAAAUCAGUAGUUAAGACAUGUUUGAAAAUCUUUGGAAAACACUCAGAAACCCAAUACAUCGGGUAAACCAACAACUUAUACCGAUUGAAUGAUGAAGAUUAGUUCCUAGUGCAAGUGCAUUUCAUUCCUUGAUUUCUGGUUGUCUAUGAAAGAUUUAUUUGUCUUCUUGCGCUAAUUACCUGCACUACUUACCGAUUACACGUUAAUUACCCCCUCCUCUUAUUCUUCUUUAAUAAGAUUAGAAAAGCAUUAUAGCGGACAAAAAACCAACUUAACCGUAUAACACAAAAACAAAUUGCAGAGAAUUAUGCAGAUGAAAACUGAAUUAAACCAAAAAAAAACGAUUGUAUAUGUAUAAUAAUAUUAAUAAUAAAUUGUGAGUCAAUGAAUUUGACUUUCCAUUUACAGACACGGUACUGCUCUCUUAAACAGAAAAAAGUACAUCGUCAGUUUUGAUUGACUCUACAGUAAUUAAUAUUCUUUGUAAUAUUAGUUUUAUAUCUAGUUUGUUAGAAGUUCGAAAAACGUUAGAUGAGGAUGCUUUAAUAAUUGUUCGGGAGAAUUAAUAAAUAGCUUCCUGGAUUCUACACUAGCAUAUGCUUUCCAGCACGUCAUGUUAAGAAGGAUAUUCCGUUGCUGCUCACGUUCAAAUAUUGACAUAUUGAACAGCAUAUUGUUUUUUUUUAAUAUAUUAAAAUAGCAGUAUAUUAAAUUAAUUUUGGUUAAUUAUGAAAAAAUUCAUGAUUUUAGACGGGAAAACAUGAUAACCUCAUUGAACUUAUAUAAAAACAAAUAUGAUAAAUCAAAUACUGAAAGCCAAAAAAAAUACAAAAUCUAAAAAAAGAAAGUAAAAAAAGCAACUCAAGAAAAUAAACCAGUGAAUACAAGUCAUCUAAAACAAUGUUUGGUUCCAACAGAUAAAAUUGAUCAGAAUCCCAAGGCAGAAAUAUGAUCGUCAUUUUAAACGCCCCCAUAAAAGUUUCACCAUGUGAUCAAGGUCUUGAAGAAAUUCGAGUUAAAUUCCUUCCCUGUCGACCAAUUCAAAAAGAAAUCUCCAUUGCCAUUAAUCAUAAAUAAAGAUUGUUAUUGAGAUGGCCUGCGCUAGCUGAAUAGCCUCCCUUUCUUUUGGGGGCAAGCCAAAUGAAUUCAUUGAAACAAGGAACGAAUAGGCACUCAAGCGGAAAGAAAAGCAUCCUGAUGAGAGAAGCCGAAGCUCCCACGAAAUUACAAGCCUACAAAAUCAGACAAAAGAAUCCAUUUCAGAGCCAAAAAAUAUAUGCUUCCAGUUUCAAAUCUGUAAGUUAGUCAAUCCUUUGAAGCAGAGCUCGAGACCAGUUAAAUGGUGUCACUUCAACAGCUACCAGUUAUGCCAGCUGUUUUGACCAUUAGUUCUAGGUCUGCUUCACGUUGCAGAAGACGUAAAUUGUAUGCAAUUUUUCAUCUGAUCUCGUACAUAAUAUAUACUUCUCCUUUGUCCAGUACAUUAACUUUGACAAUAUAUAUAUAUAAUCAAAACCAAAUUCAUAAUAAAAAACAACUCCCUUGCAAACGAAAUUGGAUGGCUUUUUUUCUUUAGUUAGUAGAGUUUAUUUAAUUUUAAUUAACGUAUAACCUCCACGAAAUUUUUUUGGGUUUGAUGGGUGGAUAAGAAAACAUACCCAUCACCAUUCUUUCUUUCUUUUCUUUUUUUAUCAAGAACGACGGGGCUAAAGCAUAAAACAUAAAAUUACAAUUUACAAGCAACACAAGCAAGGAAACAUAUAUCCCAUGAAUAUCUUCAACGAUCGAGUUUGAAAACAUCCCGUGAUAGUCUUGUAAUUAUGGUAAUGAAUCUGUGGGCAUGCAAAUGAACAGAUAGAGUAAUGGUAGAGCAAUUCAAUUUAAUUGGUGAACAUUGUAUAAUUAAAGAAUUUGAAGGAUUGGGAGUACUAAGGAAAACACUAGUAUCUCUUUACAAUCAACGUAUUUUGUUGAAGAUGAUUUGCUAGUAUUGAGGUUGUGAUUGUAGGAGAGUGACAAUCUGGAGGGUGAUGGAUGAUGAAUAUCAACAAUGGUUGAUCAUUUAAAAAAAAUUAAAAUAGUGUUAUUUUAAUUAAAAAAAAUCAAGUGGUUAGAAGCUGAGUUUUUAUUUGAUUUACUCAAAAUCAACAUAGAUUUUUUAUCAGUUCAGAUCAAGUUAUAUAUGAAAAAUUUAUGGUAUUUAAUAUGUAAUUGAUGACAUCUUAUUAAUGAUUUUUUAAAUCUAUAUUGAAAAGAAAUGCAGAUAAAAAAAGAAAAAGAAAAUAAAACUCAUAAUUUACUCAAAAUCAACACAAGCAAGGUAACAUAUAUCCCAUGAAUAUCUUCAACGAUCGAGUUUGAAAACAUCCCAUGAUAGUCUUGUAAUUAUGGUAAUGAAUCUGUGGGCAUGCAAAUGAACAGAUAGAGUAAUGGUAGAGCAAUUCAAUUUAAUUGGUGAACAUUGUAUAAUUAAAGUCCUGAAUUUGAAGGAUUGGGAGUACUAAGAAAAACACUAGUGUCUCUUUACAAUCAACGUAUUUUGUUGAAGAUGAUAUAUUUGCUAGUAUUGAGUUUGUGAUUGUAGGAGAGUGCCCAAUCAAAUCAAUGGAGGGUGAUGGAUGAUGAAUAUCAACAAUGGUUGAUCACUUUUUUUAAUAAAAAAAAUUAAAAGGUUAGAAGUUAAGUUUUUAUUUGAUUUAUUCAAAAUUAAUCUAGAUUUAAUCAGUUCAGAUGAAAUUAUUUAUAAAUAAUUUAUGGUAUUUAAUAAUUAACUAGUGACAUACUAUUAAUUACUUUUCAGAUUUAUAUUAAAAAAAUAUAUAAAUAAACAAAAUAAACAAAAUAAAACUCAUAAUUUACUCGAAAUCAAUACAAGCAAGGUAAUGUAUAUCUCAUGAAUAUCUUCAACGAUCAAGUUUGAAAACAUCCUAUGAUAGUCUUGUAAUUAUGGUAAUGAAUCUGUGGGCAUGCAAAUGAACAGAUAGAGUAAUGGUAGAGCAAUUCAAUUUAAUUGGUGAACAUAAUAUAAAGUCCCGAAUUUGAAGGACUGGGGGUACCAAGAGAAACACUAGUUUGCUAGUAUUGAGUUUGUGAUUGUAGGAGAGUGCCAAUCAGAUCAAUGGAGGGUGAUGGAGGGUGAAUAUCAACAAUGGUUGAUCAUUUUAAAAAAAUUAAAUUAGUUUUAUUUUAAUUAAAAAAAAUCAAGAGGUUAGCAGCUGAGUUUUUAUUUGAUUUACACAAAAUCAAUCUAGAUUUUCUAUCGGUUCAAAUCAAGUUAUUUAUAAAAAUUUUAUGGUAUUCAAUGACUAACUGAUAACAUCUUAUUAAUUACUUUGCAGAUCUAUAUUAAAAAAUAUAUAAAUAAAAAAAAGAUAGACAAAAUAAAACUCAUAACUUACUAAAAGCGAUAAAAAUAUAUUCAUCUAAAUUUAUCUCUCAUACUUGUAUUUAUUUAAAAAAAAACUCAAAAAAUAAUUAAUAAAAUAUCACUAAUUAAUUCAUAAACACUUAAAAUUUCUAGAUUAUUCCCUUUUCUAUUUUUUUUAAUACGAAUCUAUUUAAACUCUAUAUUAGCCUAUUUGGGCUUGUUUGAGAAUGUGAUUGCGAUUGUUUUUUAAAGUGUUUUUCAUUUCGAAAUGCAUCAAAAUGAUUUUUUUAUUUUAAAAAAUUAUUUUUGAGAUCAGCGCACUAAAACGAUUCAAAACAUUUUUAAAAAAUAAAUUUUAAAAAAAAUUGAAUUUUUUAGGAAUGCAGGUUGACCCACAUUUCUAAAUGUUCUCUUCAAAGUUUUUUUUUUAUAUUAAUACAUCAAAAUUAUAAAAAAAUUAAAAAUAUUAAUAAUAUAUUUUAAAAUUAAAAUAUCUUUAAAAUAUAAUAAAAGAUAAAAAUAAAAGUUAUUUCAAUCACACCUGAAAUGACUGAAACAACCUUGGAUUGGAUGUCCAUAACCAAAGAAUGCUUUCAACUGGUAUACUUUUCGUCUAAUCUCGUAAAUAAUACCAAAUAUUCUCCGUGGAGGCAGGGCGAUAGAGAAACUAGUUACGUUGUUGUGCAUCGUGGGGUGUGAUUCCUUCUCUUUACUUGAAAUUACUCCUGAAAUGUUGUUUCCAUCCACAUGGUGUUUCAAGCGAGGCUCAAAGAAGGUGGAUGAUAUGUGCCUUCCCAGCAGUACCAAGGUUGCCAAACGUACACCUUUACCUUUUUUUUAACAGGCAUCUGUAAUAGACUUUUAUGCCUUUGGGCUUCGUUACUACUGAGGUGCUUUCAAAUGUUCACCAUAAUAUGUUUAUACAGAUGUUAUCCCGUUGAUUUUAGAACUUUUACUCCAUCUUCUUCCUUAGUUGAAGGUUCAAUGCAAUGCGCAACCUCUGCC